GGUCUGCAGUUCACCCAGGCGUCACCGGCCCAGAUGGGCAGCUAAACCUG
RNAcentral lists this non-coding RNA (50 nucleotides) under uncultured Cypionkella sp. RNAcentral describes it as "COG3860 RNA". It matches the Rfam family "COG3860 RNA". The record is from RNAcentral. Lineage: Bacteria; Pseudomonadati; Pseudomonadota; Alphaproteobacteria; Rhodobacterales; Paracoccaceae.